ACAAGCAUGAAGAACCGUUUCUAAUCCAACUCUGAUGCUCCCUCCCAUUUUCCCCCUUCGCGUAGAUUUUCGCUCUCUUCCUUUUCGAGUCGCUUAUUUUUUUUCCUACUGGAUUUCUCUUUCGACUAGAUAUGUAUUUUAUAUCUGUUCGCUACUUGAGUUUUCACGGUAAUCUCUAAUCAAAUAUACCAUGGCUUUGAUCGAUCUCACCAAAUCUUGCCUGGAUUCCAUUCGCCAA
RNAcentral lists this long non-coding RNA (238 nucleotides) under Carica papaya (papaya). Its description in RNAcentral is "long non-coding RNA (CPAP_LNC013871)". Lineage: Eukaryota; Viridiplantae; Streptophyta; Magnoliopsida; Brassicales; Caricaceae. The record is from RNAcentral.